Molecule: long non-coding RNA, 1354 nt
Organism: Mytilus californianus (California mussel)
Lineage: Eukaryota; Metazoa; Mollusca; Bivalvia; Mytilida; Mytilidae
Exons: 4
Source: RefSeq, a predicted model, not a curated record
CUGUCAUCCGUUAAAGAGCAGUAUAAAGACGAAGUGCAUACACCAAAGACUUUACAUAAAUUGCAAGUAUAUGUUUAAACUGAAUUAGAUAAGCACGAAAUUCAGUAAUGUUUUUGAUUAUUUUAGUGUAUCAUCAAAUAAUGUGACACUUUAUCGAUUUUAUUAAGACAUAGAAUACGAAUGGAUAACAUUGUUGACGAUAUCAAGAAGCUGCAGGAUUCAAACGCUGCUGUUAAAAGUGUCAUCGAAAAUUUUCGAAAGCUUCAAGACUUUUGGGGCGAAAAGUCGAAGGUAGGACACCGACUCAUUUCAAAAGAUGUACAAAUAGAUACAUUUAACACUGUCUAUAAGGUACAUGGACCGAUAUACGUACAUAUCAAAAGAAAUGUUACUGUCGAGACCAACAUAAUAUCCCUGACCGAUAUACAUACACAUGAACGGAAACGGGGCUGUCGAGACAAACAUGUUUCGGACAAAAAGUCAAAGAAAGAAGACCAACACAUUUCAGAAGACGUACAAAUAGACACAUUUAACACUGUCUAUAAGGUACAUGGACCGAUAUAUGUACACAUCAACAGAAAGGGUUCCAAGGAUUUAAAAAGAUCAAUUCUAAUUCAGGCCCGACAACCAAACGCUACAAGACAAAUACAUUUUGUAGAUAACGAAAUUUUUCCAAAGCUUAAAACCUUUUGGGAAGAAAAGACCAAGGCGGAAGAAAAUCGACACAUUUUAAAUGAUGCACAGAUAGAUACAUUUAAUACUGUCUAUAAGUUACAUGGACCAAUAUACGUGCAUAUUCACAGAAAGAAAAUUGUCAAAACAAUGAUUAUAGCCGUCAAUGAAAAGGUUCCUAGAAGACAAACAGAGACUUUUAAAAGUUUUCUCGCUGGAGCAGGUGUUUUAGGGGUUUGCUUUGUUCUGGUAAGAAUGUUAAUGCCACAUUCUGUAAACAUUCGUUUGAUCUAGCAUUCCCUCUUAAAAUAAAACUAACCAACGACACCAGGCUUAAACAUGUUCAAAGUUACCAGCAUAACACAUGUUCAAAGAUACCAGGACCAACAUGUUCAGUUGCUAUUUAUCUAAUGUUGAUCCAAAUAUAUUUGUAUGGGACUUAUGAUGGACAAGAAAUCAUAGAUAAAACAAUCGAAACGGGCAUCUUGAACUAAAUUUUAAUGUGCGUAUUGUUAUGCGUUUACUUUUCUACAUUGGCUAGAGGUAUAGGGGGAGGGUUGAGAUCUCAUAAACAUGUUUAACCCCGCCGCAAUUUUGCGCCUGUCCCAAGUCAGGAGCCUCUAGCCUUUGUCAGUCUUGUAUUAUUUUUAAUUUUAGUUUCUUGUGUACAAUUUGGAGUUUA